RNAcentral lists this ribosomal RNA (253 nucleotides) under uncultured archaeon. RNAcentral describes it as "partial 16S ribosomal RNA". It matches the Rfam family "Archaeal small subunit ribosomal RNA", at positions 474 to 726 of the family's 1478-position model. The record is from RNAcentral.
CACCGGCGCCUCGAGUGGGGAUCGCGAUUAUUGGGCCUAAAGCGUUCGUAGCAGGUUCUGUAAAUCUUUUGUGAAAUUGGCAGGCUUAACCUGCCAGCGUGCAGAGGACACUGCAGGACUCGAGACCGGGAGAGGUCAGAAGUAUUCCUUGGGUACCGGUAAAAUGGGUUAAUCCAAGGAGGACUACCAAUGGCGAAGGCAUCUGACCAGAACGGUUCUGACUGUGAGGAACGAAAGCUAGGGGAGCAAAACG